UACGAAGGGGGCUAGCGUUGUUCGGAAUCACUGGGCGUAAAGGGUGCGUAGGCGGCGUGGUAAGUCGGAUGUGAAAUCUCGGAGCUUAACUCCGAAACUGCAUUCGAUACUGCCGUGCUUGAGGACUGGAGAGGAGACUGGAAUUUACGGUGUAGCGGUGAAAUGCGUAGAUAUCGUAAGGAAGACCAGUGGCGAAGGCGGGUCUCUGGACAGUUCCUGACGCUGAGGCACGAAGGCCAGGGGAGCAAACGGG
This 253-nucleotide ribosomal RNA is filed under the name uncultured bacterium. RNAcentral describes it as "partial 16S ribosomal RNA". It matches the Rfam family "Bacterial small subunit ribosomal RNA", at positions 524 to 776 of the family's 1533-position model. The record is from RNAcentral.